Beta vulgaris subsp. vulgaris (sugar beet) is the source of this 107-nucleotide small nucleolar RNA. It matches the Rfam family "Plant small nucleolar RNA R71". From Rfam's summary of the family: R71 is a member of the C/D box family of snoRNAs containing the C (UGAUGA) and D (CUGA) box motifs. Multiple nearly identical copies of this snoRNA have been identified in Arabidopsis, and it is thought to function as a 2'-O-ribose methylation guide for 18S ribosomal RNA. Lineage: Eukaryota; Viridiplantae; Streptophyta; Magnoliopsida; Caryophyllales; Amaranthaceae. The record is from Rfam.
ACCUCAUGAUGUGGGCAUUCACUUAACAAAUUACUAAACCGUUCCCAUGCUUCAUAAAAUAAUUCAUUAGGCUUUUGAGAAAAAGUUGUUAUAGCACGUCUCAUAGC